GGACCCGCACAAGCGGUGGAUGAUGUGGUUUAAUUCGAUGCAACGCGAAAAACCUUACCCACCUUUGACAUGUACGGAAGAUCGCAGAGACGCGAUUGUGCUCGAAAGAGAGCCGUAACACAGGUGCUGCAUGGCUGUCGUCAGCUCGUGUCGUGAGAUGUUGGGUUAAGUCCCGCAACGAGCGCAACCCUUGCCAUUAGUUGCUACGAAAGGGCACUCUAAUGGGACUGCCGGUGACAAACCGGAGGAAGGUGGGGAUGACGUCAAGUCCUCAUGGCCCUUAUAGGUGGGGCUACACACGUCAUACAAUGGCUGGUACAAAGGGUAGCCAACCCGCGAGGGGGAGCCAAUCCCAUAAAGCCAGUCGUAGUCCGGAUCGCAGUCUGCAACUCGACUGCGUGAAGUCGGAAUCGCUAGUAAUCGUGGAUCAGAAUGUCACGGUGAAUACGUUCCCGGGUCUUGUACACACCGCCCGUCACACCAUGGGAGCGGGUUCUGCCAGAAGUAGGUAGCCUAACCGUAAGGAGGGCGCUUACCACGGCAGGGUUCGUGACUGGGGUGAAGUCGUAACAAGGUAGCCGUAUCGGAAGGUGCGGCU
Molecule: ribosomal RNA, 598 nt
Filed under: uncultured Comamonadaceae bacterium
Lineage: Bacteria; Pseudomonadati; Pseudomonadota; Betaproteobacteria; Burkholderiales; Comamonadaceae
Description: bacterial SSU rRNA
Rfam family: Bacterial small subunit ribosomal RNA
Source: RNAcentral